GUGCCCGUAGCCCAGCUGGAUAGAGCGCAAGACUCCGACUCUUGAGGCCGCAGGUUCGAAUCCUGUCGGGCACGCCA
Molecule: transfer RNA, 77 nt
Filed under: Acetivibrio sp. MSJd-27
Lineage: Bacteria; Bacillati; Bacillota; Clostridia; Acetivibrionales; Acetivibrionaceae
Description: tRNA-Arg
Rfam family: tRNA
About the family: Transfer RNA (tRNA) molecules are approximately 80 nucleotides in length. Their secondary structure includes four short double-helical elements and three loops (D, anti-codon, and T loops).
Source: RNAcentral